This 427-nucleotide ribosomal RNA is filed under the name uncultured bacterium. Its description in RNAcentral is "bacterial SSU rRNA". It matches the Rfam family "Bacterial small subunit ribosomal RNA", at positions 335 to 755 of the family's 1533-position model. The record is from RNAcentral.
ACUCCUACGGGAGGCAGCAGUGGGGAAUAUUGCACAAUGGGCGCAAGCCUGAUGCAGCCAUGCCGCGUGUAUGAAGAAGGCCUUCGGGUUGUAAAGUACUUUCAGCAGUGAGGAAGGUGGGUAUGUUAAUAGCAUACUCAUUUGACGUUAGCUGCAGAAGAAGCACCGGCUAACUCCGUGCCAGCAGCCGCGGUAAUACGGAGGGUGCGAGCGUUAAUCGGAAUUACUGGGCGUAAAGCGCAUGCAGGUGGUUUGUUAAGUCAGAUGUGAAAGCCCGGGGCUCAACCUCGGAAUUGCAUUUGAAAACUGGCAAACUAGAGUACUGUAGAGGGGGUAGAAUUUCAGGUGUAGCGGUGAAAUGCGUAGAGAUCUGAAGGAAUACCGGUGGCGAAGGCGGCCCCUGGACAGAUACUGACACUCAGAUGCG